GUUAGAACAAAAAUGCUUAAUUUUGAAUAUCACAAUCAUUUCACCAUUCAUAAAACUAUGAAACAUCAUAUUAAAAUACUCUAAAUAAACAAAUGUAGAAUAUGGAUUAUAUCGAGUACCAUAUCAGCUCAAUGAUUUAUGACAAUAUCAGUCGCAUAUACAGAUUAUAUAAAAAAAUAAAUUAAAGAAUUCACGUACGAGUCCGUCCUUGACACAAACUUGCUAGCUUUUCACCCUCCAUCAACGAGAGCACAGCAACGUUACUCCUCCUUGUUCCACUAUUUAACGUGCCUAGCUAAAAUAUCAAUGCCAACAAUUGUCCAAAAACUUUUCUAAUUUAAAUCAAGACAUUGUCUUAAUUUCCUGUUUUAAUUUGUUAGUGUUGCUUGUUCAAGUACGCUAAUAAAUGUUUGUUACAUUUGUUAAAAACAGUAAAAUUUAAAAGAGAGUAAAGAAAGUAUUUGAAAACUUCUGAAAGGGGAAUGUUAGAUUACUUGCCUCAGUGAUUUAAUCUAGUGCCGACAGUCACAAAUUGUGCUUCAUAGCCCUAAUGCAGAAGCUCUUAAAUAAUUUGCAUCUUAAGUCCUUCGAAAAUAAAUGUAUUUCAAAUACGUGGAAGGAAUUUGAACAUAGAGAGAAAAGGGAACGAGUGACCAUGAGGGAAAGUAACCGCAAUGAAAACGAAUUUUUACUUAGCAUACGACUACUCAGCUCUGAUAUUUUUAGGAUAUAAUGUAGCUUGGUGGCAAAAAUAGUUGAAAUCGAUAUAGGAAUAACCUCAGCUAAAUAUAAAGAUUAUCGUUAAUCUAAUGAGCUUUUUGAUGAAUGUUUCUGUCUAAUUGUGUGUUACCUUAAUAUCAUUACAAAAAUAAAUUGCACCUAGCCCUUUCAUACUUGUUUACUUAGAAACACGUUAACGUUAACACGAAAACAUUUAACGCAGUAUUCUUUGUAUACUGAAGUGUCAUACUUUUUUAUUUUUUUAUUAAACGAGGCAAUGUAAAGACAAACUCAUAAGGUUCUUGGAAUAUUAUUACAUCUUUUGGGAUUUCAAAUAAUUGGGUGAAUUCUUCUCAAGAGUGUAGUAAUAGCGUGAUAUUGAAAGUGUCAGAGAACGUUAUAAACAAUCGUGAUCCUUAAUUUUAACAAUUAAAAACUAUAAAUGCAAACAUAAUACAGUCAAUACGCAAAUUUAAUCAUCAUCAUUUAACUCGUCAAACAUUUUGCCGGUAUUUUCACAAAGAUGAUGAGUAUUUACUACUUGGAACAUUUUCAUAAUGAUCACAUUCAGAUGCUGAUGAAUCGCCGUUCUUGUACAUAAGCGAACCCACUAAAUUGGCCUGUGAGUAAUUAUAAGUAAACUCGAAUACAAUACCUGAAGUACCGCUUUGGAAUAGCGCAAAACCACAAUCGACAAAAGCUGCACUUUCGUUUGUUAUUGCUGUGAAGUGCGCGAGUUUUUACCAGACAGCGCUGGAAUUCUUUUAAGACAAUUCGUUUGCCAGAGCAUUGCCUUAAUCAAAAAAUUGAUAUUCGGGCCACCUAUUUAAUGUAAUUUUCACCUCAUCAACUAAGGCUUUAUACGUCCACCCCACAUAUUAAAAUUUUGAUCAGAGUCUGUAAACCGUUCAGUACCAUGACAAGCAUCGUGCUCCAUAUUACAACGUAUUGCAUGGAUUCCGGCUAUAUAUGCUAACUCGUAAUCUCAGAUUAAUUCACGCAUGCGAGUGGAUUUUGGAAAGAUUCUAGCGCCUUGAUUUCCAAAUUCUUGUUCACCCCCAGCUAAUCUGUUGCGAUGUUCAUGGUGCGAUCAACAUAAAGACGUUUGAUUGAGCCUGUCAAUGUAAAAAGAGCACAACCACUUGAGCAACCACAGAGAUCACACAUAAAAUGUUUGCUAGUGUCACAUAAUUCAUUCUGUUUAUUACAAUAAUAAUACGCAUCGGUGAAAAUACAAGGCCCUAUCGAAAUA
Molecule: long non-coding RNA, 1972 nt
Organism: Zeugodacus cucurbitae (melon fly)
Lineage: Eukaryota; Metazoa; Arthropoda; Insecta; Diptera; Tephritidae
Exons: 2
Source: RefSeq, a predicted model, not a curated record